ACCAAGGCGAUCGGGUGAACUGUGGUUAAGGAACUCGGCAAAUUGCCCCCGUAACUUCGGGAGAAGGGGGGCCUCCGCUGAUGAUCAGACUUGCUUUGUGAGCUGGUGGGGGUCGCAGAGGCCAGGGGGAAGCGACUGUUUACUAAAAACACAGGUCCGUGCGAAGUCGUAAGACGAUGUAUACGGACUGACGCCUGCCCGGUGCUGGAACGUUAAGGGGACCGGUUAGCGCAUCUUCGGGUGUGCGAGGCUGAGAACUUAAGCGCCAGUAAACGGCGGUGGUAACUAUAACCAUCCUAAGGUAGCGAAAUUCCUUGUCGGGUAAGUUCCGACCUGCACGAAUGGCGUAACGACUUCCCCGCUGUCUCAACCGCAGACCCGGCGAAAUUGCACUACGAGUAAAGAUGCUCGUUACGCGCAGCAGGACGGAAAGACCCCGGGACCUUCACUACAGCUUGACAUUGGCGUUUGGAACGUCUUGUGUAGGAUAGGUGGGAGACUGCGAAGCUGUCACGCUAGUGGUGGUGGAGUCAUUGGUGAAAUACCACUCUGGUCGUUUUGAACGUCUAACUUCGGUCCGUGACCCGGAUCAGGGACAGUGUCUGGUGGGUAGUCUAACUGGGGCGGUUGCCUCCUAAAGAGUAACGGAGGCGCCCAAAGGUUCCCUCAGCCUGGUUGGUAAUCAGGUGUCGAGUGUAAGUGCACAAGGGAGCUUGACUGUGAGACCGACGGGUCGAGCAGGAGCGAAAGCUGGGACUAGUGAUCCGGCGGUGGCAUGUGGAAGCGCCGUCGCUCAACGGCUAAAAGGUACCCCGGGGAUAACAGGCUGAUCUUCCCCAAGAGUCCAUAUCGACGGGAUGGUUUGGCACCUCGAUGUCGGCUCGUCGCAUCCUGGGGCUGGAGUAGGUCCCAAGGGUUGGGCUGUUCGCCCAUUAAAGCGGUACGCAAGCUGGGUUUAGAACGUCGCGAGACAGUUCGGUCCCUAUCCGCUGCGCGCGCAGGAGACUUGAAAGGAGCUGUCCCUAGUACGAGAGGACCGGGACGGACGAACCUCUGGUGUGCCAGUUGUUCCGCCAGGAGCAUGGCUGGUUGGCUACGUUCGGAAGGGAUAACCGCUGAAAGCAUCUAAGCGGGAAGCUCGCCUUGAGAUGAGGUCUCCCACCACGAGAGUGGGUAAGGCCCCCGGGAGACGACCGGGUUGAUAGGCCGGAGGUGGAAGCAUGGUAACGUGUGGAGCUGACCGGUACUAAUAGGCCGAGGACUUGACC
RNAcentral lists this ribosomal RNA (1268 nucleotides) under metagenome. RNAcentral's name for it is "bacterial LSU rRNA". It matches the Rfam family "Bacterial large subunit ribosomal RNA", at positions 1680 to 2925 of the family's 2925-position model. The record is from RNAcentral.